This 1039-nucleotide ribosomal RNA is filed under the name uncultured Burkholderia sp. RNAcentral describes it as "bacterial SSU rRNA". It matches the Rfam family "Bacterial small subunit ribosomal RNA", at positions 355 to 1393 of the family's 1533-position model. Lineage: Bacteria; Pseudomonadati; Pseudomonadota; Betaproteobacteria; Burkholderiales; Burkholderiaceae. The record is from RNAcentral.
UGGGGAAUUUUGGACAAUGGGCGAAAGCCUGAUCCAGCAAUGCCGCGUGUGUGAAGAAGGCCUUCGGGUUGUAAAGCACUCUUGUCCGGAAAGAAAUCCUUGGCUCUAAUACAGUCGGGGGAUGACGGUACCGGAAAAAUAAGCACCGGCUAACUACGUGCCAGCAGCCGCGGUAAUACGUAGGGUGCGAGCGUUAAUCGGAAUUACUGGCGUAAAGCGUGCGCAGGCGGUUAGCUAAGACCGAUGUGAAAUCCCCGGGCUCAGCCUGGGAACUGCAUUGGUGACUGGCAGGCUAGAGUAUGGCAGAGGGGGGUAGAAUUCCACGUGUAGCAGUGAAAUGCGUAGAGAUGUGGAGGAAUACCGAUGGCGAAGGCAGCCCCCUGGGCCAAUACUGACGCUCAUGCACGAAAGCGUGGGGAGCAAACAGGAUUAGAUACCCUGGUAGUCCACGCCCUAAACGAUGUCAACUAGUUGUUGGGGAUUCAUUUCCUUAGUAACGUAGCUAACGCGUGAAGUUGACCGCCUGGGGAGUACGGUCGCAAGAUUAAAACUCAAAGGAAUAGACGGGGACCCGCACAAGCGGUGGAUGAUGUGGAUUAAUUCGAUGCAACGCGAAAAACCUUACCUACCCUUGACAUGGUCGGAAUCCCGCUGAGAGGUGGGAGUGCUCGAAAGAGAACCGGCGCACAGGUGCUGCAUGGCUGUCGUCAGCUCGCGUCGUGAGAUGUUGGGUUAAGUCCCGCAACGAGCGCAACCCUUGUCCUUAGUUGCUACGCAAGAGCACUCUAAGGAGACUGCCGGUGACAAACCGGAGGAAGGUGGGGAUGACGUCAAGUCCUCAUGGCCCUUAUGGGUAGGGCUUCACACGUCAUACAAUGGUCGGAACAGAGGGUUGCCAACCCGCGAGGGGGAGCUAAUCCCAGAAAACCGAUCGUAGUCCGGAUUGCACUCUGCAACUCGAGUGCAUGAAGCUGGAAUCGCUAGUAAUCGCGGAUCAGCAUGCCGCGGUGAAUACGUUCCCGGGCCUUGUACACACCGC